Molecule: long non-coding RNA, 437 nt
Organism: Helianthus annuus (common sunflower)
Lineage: Eukaryota; Viridiplantae; Streptophyta; Magnoliopsida; Asterales; Asteraceae
Exons: 3
Source: RefSeq, a predicted model, not a curated record
UUCCCAUAGACCCUAAUAUCUCCAUCUUCUUCAAAUAAUACCGAUCUGCGCAUCCUUCAUUCAUCAUUAUCUUUAGCGUUUCAUGCACACAUUGUGGCUUCUCUAACCUUCAUCAACUACUAUUUCUUGCACCGGUAACAUCCUUAAGAUUUGAAAUGUUGAAUUAGUUCAUUAUCGGUCCAGUAGGCAGAUUACAUAAGGUCUUUAUCUAGAGCCAUAACUGGCACUACUUUAACUAAUUCCUUGCUCCGGCUUCCUAUCAGUGGAAACAUUCAGGUUAAUGUAAAAGAUGAAGCAGAUGCUCUGGAUCCAGUGGUUAAAACUGCGGAUAUGAUAGUUCACCAAAUGCAUAUGUUUUUGCCUUAGGUAAAUGGUACAAGUGUGACUUUUAGACGUGAGUUUAGUGCCAACUUUUCACAACAUAUAUAUAUAUAUAU